CUUCGCAAUAUCCGCAUUAUAACGUGCUUGAAAAUGCCUAAAAUAGCGAAGUUUUGCGAAGAUUCUGCAUCGGUCUUGCAAAGCUUGCAAAGUGGAAUGCAAUGAAAAAGACGUUCAUGGGCGUGCGGCUAAAGCGGCUUCGCGAAGAGCGCCGCCUGACGCAGGCGGCAUUGGCGGUGAAGCUCGGUAUUUCACUGAGCUAUCUCAACCAAUUGGAGAACAAUCAGCGGCCGUUGACGCUGCCGG
This 246-nucleotide unclassified non-coding RNA is filed under the name Hevea brasiliensis (rubber tree). The record is from RNAcentral. Lineage: Eukaryota; Viridiplantae; Streptophyta; Magnoliopsida; Malpighiales; Euphorbiaceae.